GACGAACGCUGGCGGCGUGCUUAACACAUGCAAGUCGAACGAAGUGGCGAACGGGUGAGUAACGCGUGAGUAACUGCCCCCCUCUCUGGGAUAACAGUUGGAAACGGCUGCUAAUACCGGAUAGUGGGGGAUGACUCGCGUCCUAUCAGCUUGUUGGUGGGGUAGUGGCCUACCAAGGCGACGACGGGUAGCCGGCCUGAGAGGGCGACCGGCCACAUUGGGCUGAGAUACGGCCCAAACUCCUACGGGAGGCAGCAGUGGGGAAUAUUGCACAAUGGGGGAAACCCUGAUGCAGCAACGCGCGUGCGGGAUGACGGCCUUCGGGUUGUAAACCGCUUUCAGCCAUGACGCGGUAGUGGCAGAAGAAGCACCGGCUAACUACGUGCCAGCAGCCGCGGUAAUAC
RNAcentral lists this ribosomal RNA (404 nucleotides) under uncultured bacterium. Its description in RNAcentral is "partial 16S ribosomal RNA". It matches the Rfam family "Bacterial small subunit ribosomal RNA", at positions 28 to 526 of the family's 1533-position model. The record is from RNAcentral.